This 4499-nucleotide long non-coding RNA is filed under the name Oryza sativa (Asian cultivated rice). RNAcentral's name for it is "long non-coding RNA (OSAT_LNC000313)". Lineage: Eukaryota; Viridiplantae; Streptophyta; Magnoliopsida; Poales; Poaceae. The record is from RNAcentral.
CCCACCCCAACCCACGCGCGUGCCAACGAUCCUCUGCCUCCUCGCCGCCGGCUUCCACCGGUGGCUCCGCGUGGAGCCCGCCACCACGGGCGGGGCCGCUCUGCUCUCCGACCGGCGCCGUCGCCAGGUGACCUACCACCAUCUCCUCGUCUCUUUCUCGCACGCACUGUAGGGGCGAGUUUUGCACUUGGGCCCUCGCAAAAUUGCAGGUAUUCUGGCGGGGCACCCCGCACCCUACGCCUUUCUUGUUUGUUUGUUUGUUUGUUUGUGAGUGAAGUGCUCUCGUCUAAUUUUGAGAUUUUGGAGUUAUUUUUUUUCUUCAAAGUGACUGAUGCAGAAUUAGAUGUAUUAGAGUUCUGGGGAUUAUGGACACAUUUUUAGUUAGGCUGGCUAGAUCACCGCUGGAUAUGUUUUGGAUGACGAGAAUCGCAGUAUCUACUAUUGCUUUAGUACACGUCUCAAGAAGUCAACAGUAAAAUCCAAUAGUCUUGCUGCUGUUCAUUUAUUGACUCAUGGUAUUUCAGAACUUAAGUUGAAAAAGUUUUACUGAUUACUAGUUAGGCAUUACUCCCUCCAUCCCAUUUUGAUCAUCACCUAAGCAAAGGGAGCAUAGAUCAAGGACAAUAAAACAUUCAUCAUUCUGUAAUUGAUUCUCAUCGGUUAAGGUGCUACGUUUUUUUGUGUUCCAUGGAUUACAUCAAGUUUUAAAUAUUGCAUGUAGUUGGACCAACAGAAAUUAAUCUUGGUGGGUUGCACGUAGUGCAUUAAGUGAUGCUCAUUUAGUCUUGACACAAAUAAACAAGUGAUGAUCAAAUUGGGAUAAAGAGAGUACAAGAUACACCUUGAUAGUCCUUGAAAUAUGAAGUAGUUGCAUCGGACUACACCAAUUACGAUACAAUAGAGCACAAACACCAAGAGGAACAAUAUACUCCUAUUAUUGUGUAGCACAAGUCGUCAAGUCUAGGGAAGUAAUGAAUCAGGGCUGUUAUUAACAUGCUCAUUUUCUUCCUAUUAAAAGAGAUGAAUGGAUGUACAAUUUCAGGUUAAAAAUCCUUGCAGUAGAAACCUACACAACUGCUUUCGGCCACAUGCUUUCAUGAUUUUUUGCAUGACUGCAUGCAUUAAGGCUGCCUUGCUUAUUUGUCAUACAAUAUCAGGCAUUUACAUCAUGUCAGUAACUAUUAAACAAAUUGAAGUGUCAAAAUGUCAUUCCUCUUCAUAUCUUCAGUUCUGAAUCUUGAUGUGCAUCCAUUACUUAUGCCAGAGUUCUAACUUGUCCAGUUAGGUUGUUAUGGCGUUUUCUUCUCUACAUCUCAAGAAGGAAUAGAUGGUCGCCAUCGCGGAUAACACUGACAUCAUCUAUUUCAGCAUAAUCUCUACUGACCACCUUUCUAGGAUGAAAACCUUGAAACUUCUGACCUGCCAUGCGAAGAAUAUAUAUGAUGAGAGUAAAUACAUACUACCGUAGCUGAUAUACAGUAAAUUGCAGAUUUACAUCUGCUAUCCACUCAGUAAAUUGCAUAGGCGAAACACAGUUAAAAUAGGUAGUUUAAAACUUAAUUUUACUUACUGCCAAUUUUGAACAGUUCCUCCAAUGAUGUAGGCAGCUUGAUAAGCUUUCCAUUUUGCGCAGCAGAGACUGUUGAGUUAUGACGAUAUUUGUGAAUUGUAACUCUUUUGUUUGCUUCUUUUAUGUAGUACUCAUCUGGAAUUCUUCUUGUUAUGUUUUCUUCUGUUUUAUGUGGAGACCCUGUCUGCACUGUUGCAUUCAUUGUUCGCUGACUGUAUGUGGAGCUGCUAUCUUCAGAGUUUAUCUGGAUACAGUGCUCUUCCGUUCUUUUUUUGAUCUCACAGUUUGUGUGAACUUCAUCAUGGUUCUCUUCUUUAUCUGUCAUACUGCUAUUUUCGUUUUCUGAUGCCGAAGAUCGGGUUGCUUCUCCAAGUAACUGUCUGGAAUAUCUGUCACCUCCAAAUACUGGAGUGUUGUUACUAGAAUCCCUACUUGUGUGCUCUGUGUAAUGUAGUUGUGACUUUUUCAGCAGCCAUGCUUCUCGAGGAACGUGGAAUAGCUCAUACUUGCUCAAGAAUCUUCGGUCUGGUUGAUUCAUGUCAGGUAAACUUUCUCGUAGCUUCAGCUUCUGUACAUUGGAAUAGAGUUGUUAACUUCUGAUUAGCUGUAAAAAAUGCAGUAUAAUUGUUUGAAAAUAAAAUUGAAGUUAUACCUGAACUAGGUUGUUCAUUAGAAUGUUACUGUCUUCCCUGUUUUCUUCAAUGAUCUCUCUAAGCCUUGUUUUGCUUAUUCUUAAAAGCUGUGAUAGCUCCGCUGUGCGGCAAGUAAAUGGCUGGGGUAUGUUACAUAAAGAACCAACCUCUCCAAACAUUUCUCCCUCUGCAAUUUUCUCAUAUACCUGUUUUCAAACAAUUCAUAAUUUUUGGUAAAUCUGAAUAAAUCUUACUGAUAUCUGGAAUAGAUAUAUACAGAGAAAACCUGUACCUGCUCAUUCCCAUGUAUUGUUGUUAUUAUAUUCUACAUAGAAAAAGCAUUAAGAAAAGCGCAAUUAGCGUACAGAUAAAGCCUUAGUGAAAUUUCAUGUCUGAACUAAAUUGGAGAUAGAAUACUAACCACUGCUCCUGAAACUACUAUGUAAACAUCUGCUUCUCCUUCAUUCUGCAAUAUUAUAUCUUCCUUUGGUGGGAAGUACUCAGCCUGCACUUCCAUGACCUGUUUUGUUCAACAUAUUCAAUUAGUAAAGACUGGAAAGUAUUGCUUUUGUAUGGUACUACGAAAAUAUUGAAUUAUUUCAUGAUUUUACCAGUUCUGCAAUGAAAUUGCCAGAUACUCCAUUGAAGAGAUAGGCUUGCCGGAUGAUCGGAAAGAAUAAGCUGUAUGCUAUGCUUGAGCGGAUUCCUUUUGGUAGACAGUCUAACAUGACCUGCUGGUUGAGUCCCUCUGUCUUGAAUUGUAGGCAGAAGUGAGAUAGCACUUGCUGCUUUAUGUUCUCAGGUAGCUGAUUGCGUGCUGCAAACUCUGAUGCUGCUUGGAUUGAGUCCCUCUGCACAUAUAUUUUUUAAAGGAUCAUCAAUAUAGCAGUACAUAUAUUGGAACAACAAUGCUGGUAGUAGUAACCGUUUUAGUUAAAAUGAUGACUAUGCUAUUUGCAUUCACUUCAGACCUCUUUUAGUAUUCUUGCCCUUGAGUUGAAUGAUAUUUUGUUGAUGUUGUUGUCCCUUAGAAUGGUCAAAUGACGUAGGGAUACAAGAACUUGUACCUUGUGGAAUACUACAAGAACAGGAUUCUAUUCAUUUAUUCCCUUGCUUUGCUCUAUGGUUGAAAACCCGCCUCUGCCAUUUGCACAAGAACUUAAAAGAAUGGUCCAGCAUGACCAUUUUUUUUUGUAAAUGAAACUAUAAUAGUUCUUAUACCCAUUGGAUAUUAUGAAUGUAUGGUGCUUAGUUCUUAGGGUGUUGAUCCCCUGGAUGUCUUAGAUAUAACUAAUUCCUAUGACACAAUUCAUAUAAAUUGUAUAACUGUGUAGAUGCUCUUGAAUAAGCAUGAUUUUAUAUGUAACCAUACAUCCCACCACGCAUAAAACCAAAAUGCUAGUUUGUUCUCAGAUCUUUGACAUCAUUUAUUUGUAUGGCAUCCAUAUGCAGCUUAUUUGUAUUUUUAUGAUCAAAGGGUAGUGUAUCACAUCUGUAAUGGCAUUCCAAAUGCUAAAAUUUUCACUUGUCUGCCAUAAUCUGCUGCAUUCAGCACUAUAUAAAUCUCACUAAAAACUACAUUUCUGAAUGAUCUUUCUGUAGACAGAAGAUUUGCCAUUGACAUUUUUGCUGGUAAGUAGAGAAACUUACAAAUUUCCUGGUGCGGCUGGUCCCAUGGACAACUAGGUUGGUCAUGUUGCCAAUGAGAUAAGCUGUCAAGCCCAGAUUAAACAUCAUAUAGACAAUAUCAAAUAGCAUCUCUGUUGGAUUUUCAGCAUGUAGGUCCCCAUAUCCUGUUGUUGUCAGUGUUGUAAUGGACCAGUAAAGAGCAGUAAUAUAUCUAGUCCAUAAGCUCUCUGAUCUGAAAGUUGACAUCACAGCUCCUAUCCAUGUUUUCUCUGGGUUGGGAUAUCUGUCAGCAAUCAUAUAAUUGAAGCAUCCUGCACAAUGUACUGCGAAGAGGGUCACCUGCAUUUUGGUCAAUACAUAUUUUAUACACAUAAGAACCAGCUUAUUUCUUCCUAUAGGCACAUAACUAGUACUUUGCAAGAUAGAAAAAUUUUUGCACAGAACACAGAAGGUAAGUUUCUUUUGUUCAGAAGGACUUACAGAAAUAAGUUUUGAGCACCUAGUCCAGAAAUAGUUGAAUCGGAUGUCUUUCUCCAGCCUGAUAAAAUAGAAUGAUUAAAUUGUUGCAGUUGUCACUUGUGAUUCGCCAUCAAAUUAUGGAGAACCUGGACAAGAUUUUGAACCUGGCAAAUAGUGAACUGACUCGGUGAAGACGCCACAGCCUGAGC